UACGUAGGGCGCGAGCGUUGUCCGGAAUUACUGGGCGUAAAGCGUGCGCAGGCGGUUGUGUAAGACAGAUGUGAAAUCCCCGGGCUUAACCUGGGAACUGCAUUUGUGACUGCAUGGCUGGAGUGCGGCAGAGGGGGAUGGAAUUCCGCGUGUAGCAGUGAAAUGCGUAGAUAUGCGGAGGAACACCGAUGGCGAAGGCAAUCCCCUGGGCCUGCACUGACGCUCAUGCACGAAAGCGUGGGGAGCAAACAGG
Molecule: ribosomal RNA, 253 nt
Filed under: uncultured bacterium
Lineage: Bacteria
Description: partial 16S ribosomal RNA
Rfam family: Bacterial small subunit ribosomal RNA
Source: RNAcentral